GGAGCAGUACUCAAGAGGCUGAAGAGGCGCCCCUGCUAAGGGUGUAGACCGGGAAUACUGGUGCGAGGGUUCAAAUCCCUCCUGCUCCGCCA
Molecule: transfer RNA, 92 nt
Filed under: Mollicutes bacterium
Lineage: Bacteria; Bacillati; Mycoplasmatota; Mollicutes
Description: tRNA-Ser
Rfam family: tRNA
About the family: Transfer RNA (tRNA) molecules are approximately 80 nucleotides in length. Their secondary structure includes four short double-helical elements and three loops (D, anti-codon, and T loops). Further hydrogen bonds mediate the characteristic L-shaped molecular structure. tRNAs have two regions of fundamental functional importance: the anti-codon, which is responsible for specific mRNA codon recognition, and the 3' end, to which the tRNAs corresponding amino acid is attached (by aminoacyl-tRNA synthetases). tRNAs cope with the degeneracy of the genetic code in two manners: having more than one tRNA (with a specific anti-codon) for a particular amino acid; and 'wobble' base-pairing, i.e. permitting non-standard base-pairing at the 3rd anti-codon position.
Source: RNAcentral